GCGCAGCAGUCGAGAAACUUUACAAUGUGCGAAAGCACGAUAAGGGAACUCUGAGUGCCUCCUAAGGAGGCUGUUCAGGUGUCUAAAAGCACCUGAAGGAAGGGCUGGGUAAGACCGGUGCCAGCCGCCGCGGUAACACCGGCAGCCCAAGUGGUAGCCACGUUUAUUGGGUCUAAAGCGUCCGUAGCCGGCUGGGUAAGUUCCUUGGGAAAUUUGGCUGCUUAACAGUCAAGCUUUCAGGGAAUACUGCCCGGCUUGGGACCGGGAGAGGUCAGAGGUACUCCAGGGGUAGGGGUGAAAUCCAUUAAUCCUUGGGGGACCACCGGUAGCGAAGGCGUCUGACCAGACCGGGUCCGACGGUGAGGGACGAAGGCUAGGGGCGCGAACCGGAUUAGAUA
This 398-nucleotide ribosomal RNA is filed under the name uncultured microorganism. RNAcentral describes it as "bacterial SSU rRNA". It matches the Rfam family "Archaeal small subunit ribosomal RNA", at positions 330 to 735 of the family's 1478-position model. The record is from RNAcentral.